Molecule: ribosomal RNA, 1343 nt
Filed under: uncultured bacterium
Lineage: Bacteria
Description: 16S ribosomal RNA
Rfam family: Bacterial small subunit ribosomal RNA
Source: RNAcentral
GACGAACGCUGGCGGCGUGCUUAACACAUGCAAGUCGAACGGAAAGGCCCUGCUUUUGUGGGGUGCUCGAGUGGCGAACGGGUGAGUAACACGUGAGUAACCUGCCCUUGACUUUGGGAUAACUUCAGGAAACUGGGGCUAAUACCGGAUAGGAGCUCCUGCUGCAUGGUGGGGGUUGGAAAGUUUCGGCGGUUGGGGAUGGACUCGCGGCUUAUCAGCUUGUUGGUGGGGUAGUGGCUUACCAAGGCUUUGACGGGUAGCCGGCCUGAGAGGGUGACCGGCCACAUUGGGACUGAGAUACGGCCCAGACUCCUACGGGAGGCAGCAGUGGGGAAUAUUGCACAAUGGGCGGAAGCCUGAUGCAGCAACGCCGCGUGCGGGAUGACGGCCCUCGGGUUGUAAACCGCUUUCGCCUGUGACGAAGCGUGAGUGACGGUAAUGGGUAAAGAAGCACCGGCUAACUACGUGCCAGCAGCCGCGGUGAUACGUAGGGUGCGAGCGUUGUCCGGAUUUAUUGGGCGUAAAGGGCUCGUAGGUGGUUGAUCGCGUCGGAAGUGUAAUCUUGGGGCUUAACCCUGAGCGUGCUUUCGAUACGGGUUGACUUGAGGAAGGUAGGGGAGAAUGGAAUUCCUGGUGGAGCGGUGGAAUGCGCAGAUAUCAGGAGGAACACCAGUGGCGAAGGCGGUUCUCUGGGCCUUUCCUGACGCUGAGGAGCGAAAGCGUGGGGAGCGAACAGGCUUAGAUACCCUGGUAGUCCACGCUGUAAACGGUGGGUACUAGGUGUGGGGUCCAUUCCACGGGUUCCGUGCCGUAGCUAACGCUUUAAGUACCCCGCCUGGGGAGUACGGCCGCAAGGCUAAAACUCAAAGGAAUUGACGGGGCCCCGCACAAGCGGCGGAGCAUGCGGAUUAAUUCGAUGCAACGCGUAGAACCUUACCUGGGUUUGACAUGGAUCGGGAGUGCUCAGAGAUGGGUGUGCCUCUUUUGGGGUCGGUUCACAGGUGGUGCAUGCCUGUCGUCAGCUCGUGUCGUGAGAUGUUGGGUUAAGUCCCGCAACGAGCGCAACCCUUGUUCACUGUUGCCAGCACGUUAUGGUGGGGACUCAGUGGAGACCGCCGGGGUCAACUCGGAGGAAGGUGGGGAUGACGUCAAGUCCUCAUGCCCCUUAUGUCCAGGGCUUCACGCAUGCUACAAUGGCUGGUACAGAGAGUGGCGAGCCUGUGAGGGUGAGCGAAUCUCGGAAAGCCGGUCUCAGUUCGGAUUGGGGUCUGCAACUCGACCUCAUGAAGUCGGAGUCGCUAGUAAUCGCAGAUCAGCAACGCUGCGGUGAAUACGUUCCCGGG